GUUUUUCUAGGAUCCACUCUAUAAAUACUUGUCUCUCCCUCAUUUUUACUAUUUUACUUAUUACUCUCUCAAACUCUCUUUUCACUUCUUUGAAUUUCCUCUCUUUUGGAGCACUUUACCUUCUUUCCCAAUCUUCAACAAGGACAAUUCACAGGUAAUCGAUCUGCUCUACUUGUCGGAAUUUCCUUCUCUUUUGUUUGUUUAUGAGUAUAUAAGUGACAUUGAUUCCUUCUACUUCUUUUUUGUGCGUUAUCGAGGCCAGCUCGGCUCUCACCGCAACUUUACUAAAAUUUCGUUUAGCUCUGCUCCAUGCACGCAAUAACUUGACAAUGUCAAUGUCAUGAUGUAGAGAUCGUUUAGCAUACCACCUUCAACCAAAUAAAUGAAAAAACUAACCAAUUAGCCCCUAAUAACUUAGGCAUGGUAACUCCUACACCCCCCACAAUAACUUGACAACACAACAAAAAGGUACAAUAAAGUAGAAUUAAAAUAUCUAA
This 497-nucleotide long non-coding RNA is filed under the name Trifolium pratense (red clover). RNAcentral's name for it is "long non-coding RNA (TPRA_LNC011461)". The record is from RNAcentral. Lineage: Eukaryota; Viridiplantae; Streptophyta; Magnoliopsida; Fabales; Fabaceae.